This 273-nucleotide ribosomal RNA is filed under the name uncultured bacterium. RNAcentral's name for it is "partial 16S ribosomal RNA". It matches the Rfam family "Bacterial small subunit ribosomal RNA", at positions 524 to 796 of the family's 1533-position model. The record is from RNAcentral.
UACGGAGGGUCCGAGCGUUAAUCGGAAUUACUGGGCGUAAAGCGCGCGUAGGCGGUUUGAUCAGUCGGAUGUGAAAGCCCUGGGCUCAACCUGGGAACUGCAUUCGAUACUGUCAGACUAGAGUAUGGUAGAGGAGUGUGGAAUUUCCUGUGUAGCGGUGAAAUGCGUAGAUAUAGGAAGGAACACCAGUGGCGAAGGCGGCACUCUGGACCAAUACUGACACUGAGGUGCGAAAGCGUGGGGAGCAAACAGGAUUAGAUACCCCCGUAGUCC